AGAGUUUGAUCAUGGCUCAGAUUGAACGCUGGCGGCAGGCCUAACACAUGCAAGUCGAGCGGAUGAGUGGAGCUUGCUCCAUGAUUCAGCGGCGGACGGGUGAGUAAUGCCUAGGAAUCUGCCUGGUAGUGGGGGACAACGUUUCGAAAGGAACGCUAAUACCGCAUACGUCCUACGGGAGAAAGUGGGGGAUCUUCGGACCUCACGCUAUCAGAUGAGCCUAGGUCGGAUUAGCUAGUUGGCGAGGUAAAGGCUCACCAAGGCGACGAUCCGUAACUGGUCUGAGAGGAUGAUCAGUCACACUGGAACUGAGACACGGUCCAGACUCCUACGGGAGGCAGCAGUGGGGAAUAUUGGACAGUGGGCGAAAGCCUGAUCCAGCCAUGCCGCGUGUGUGAAGAAGGUCUUCGGAUUGUAAAGCACUUUAAGUUGGGAGGAAGGGCAGUAAGUUAAUACCUUGCUGUUUUGACGUUACCGACAGAAUAAGCACCGGCUAACUUCGUGCCAGCAGCCGCGGUAAUACGAAGGGUGCAAGCGUUAAUCGGAAUUACUGGGCGUAAAGCGCGCGUAGGUGGUUCGUUAAGUUGGAUGUGAAAGCCCCGGGCUCAACCUGGGAACUGCAUCCAAAACUGGCGAGCUAGAGUAUGGCAGAGGGUGGUGGAAUUUCCUGUGUAGCGGUGAAAUGCGUAAAUAUAGGAAG
Molecule: ribosomal RNA, 700 nt
Filed under: uncultured Pseudomonas sp.
Lineage: Bacteria; Pseudomonadati; Pseudomonadota; Gammaproteobacteria; Pseudomonadales; Pseudomonadaceae
Description: bacterial SSU rRNA
Rfam family: Bacterial small subunit ribosomal RNA
Source: RNAcentral